AUUGAACGCUGGCGGCAUGCCUUACACAUGCAAGUCGAACGGCAGCACGGGGGGCAACCCUGGUGGCGAGUGGCGAACGGGUGAGUAAUACAUCGGAACGUGCCCGAUAGUGGGGGAUAGCUCGGCGAAAGCCGGAUUAAUACCGCAUACGACCUACGGGUGAAAGCGGGGGAUCGCAAGACCUCGCGCUAUCAGAGCGGCCGAUGUCAGAUUAGGUUGUUGGUGGGGUAAAGGCCUACCAAGCCGACGAUCUGUAGCUGGUCUGAGAGGACGACCAGCCACACUGGGACUGAGACACGGCCCAGACUCCUACGGGAGGCAGCAGUGGGGAAUUUUGGACAAUGGGCGAAAGCCUGAUCCAGCCAUGCCGCGUGCGGGAAGAAGGCC
This 387-nucleotide ribosomal RNA is filed under the name uncultured bacterium. RNAcentral's name for it is "bacterial SSU rRNA". It matches the Rfam family "Bacterial small subunit ribosomal RNA", at positions 29 to 416 of the family's 1533-position model. The record is from RNAcentral.